RNAcentral lists this transfer RNA (72 nucleotides) under Camelus bactrianus (Bactrian camel). It matches the Rfam family "tRNA". Rfam says of the family: Transfer RNA (tRNA) molecules are approximately 80 nucleotides in length. Their secondary structure includes four short double-helical elements and three loops (D, anti-codon, and T loops). RNAcentral also lists the same sequence under 1 other name. Lineage: Eukaryota; Metazoa; Chordata; Mammalia; Artiodactyla; Camelidae. The record is from Rfam by way of RNAcentral.
GGGUGUAUAGCUCAGUGGUAGAGCGCAUACCUAGCAUGCACGAGGUCCUGGGUUCAAUUCCCGGUACCGCCA